UACGGAGGGUGCAAGCAUUAAUCGGAUUUAUUGGGCGUAAAGGGCGCGUAGGCGGGGAUAAUAGUCAGAUGUGAAAUCCUGGGGCUCAACCUCAGAACUGCAUUUGAAACUGUAUCUCUAGAGGGUAGGAGGAGAAAACGGAAUUCCACAAGUAGCGGUGAAAUGCGUAGAUAUGUGGAAGAACACCGGUGGCGAAGGCGGUUUUCUAUCUUAUUCCUGACGCUAAUGCGCGAAAGCAAGGGGAUCAAACAGG
This 253-nucleotide ribosomal RNA is filed under the name uncultured bacterium. Its description in RNAcentral is "partial 16S ribosomal RNA". It matches the Rfam family "Bacterial small subunit ribosomal RNA", at positions 524 to 776 of the family's 1533-position model. The record is from RNAcentral.